This 145-nucleotide microRNA precursor is filed under the name Beta vulgaris subsp. vulgaris (sugar beet). RNAcentral describes it as "pre miRNA MIR408". The record is from RNAcentral. Lineage: Eukaryota; Viridiplantae; Streptophyta; Magnoliopsida; Caryophyllales; Amaranthaceae.
GAUGGGUCUAGGUUUGGCGGGGAUGGGGCGGGGAUGGGGAUUAAAAUUGUACCCGCAAUGGGUGGUGGAGCGGGUGUGGAUUUUAUGUUAUACCCGCCCCAUCCCCGCCCGCCCCGCCCCAUCCCCGCCCUCCCCGCCCCACCCC